Molecule: ribosomal RNA, 2385 nt
Filed under: Triticum aestivum (bread wheat)
Lineage: Eukaryota; Viridiplantae; Streptophyta; Magnoliopsida; Poales; Poaceae
Description: partial small subunit ribosomal RNA
Source: RNAcentral
AUGGGGAGCAGCCGGCCGCGCACCAAGGACUUCUUCGCAGCCCCGACGCUCUCCCUCUCGCUUGCAGGUGCGUUCGCCAGGAAGGCGCCGAGCGGAGACGAAGUGGAAGAAGGCGAGGAGGGGAGUGUCGGGGUAAGAAGCGGGCCACCAGGUGGGGAGGUGGAUGUAAGCAGCGAGAACACGGGGCCGGCCGGCAGCCAGUCCGGCGACGGCUCCGGGGAAGAAGAAGAAGGCCAUGCCGAUGGCGGUAAAAGGAAGAAGAGGAGCAGGAAGAGCUACCACAGGCACACCUCUGAACAAGUUAGGGUUAUGGAAGCGGUAUUCAAAGAGUCGCCACAUCCAGACGAAAAGCAGCGGCAGCAGCUCAGCAAGCAGCUAGGACUGUCUCCACGCCAAGUCAAGUUCUGGUUUCAGAACCGACGAACUCAGAUCAAGUGUGUUCGAUCAGGCGACUCAGGAGCGGCACGAGAACUCGCUGCUCAAGUCCGAGCUGGAGAAUCUCCAGAAGGAGAACCGCGCCAUGAGACAGCUUGCCAAGGGACCCUCACGCUGCCCAAGCUGCGGCGCCGCAGCAGCCUCGACCGAUGGCUUCGACGCCGCCGCAGCCAACCAAGAACAGCUGCUGCAGCUGGAGAACGCCAAGCUCAGAGCCGAGGUUCAUGCCGCUGCCCCGCCAACGCAGCCUUCGGUCGCGUGCGAUCUGCUGGUGCCAAUCAGAAACUGAUGCUGUGGAAGUGGAACCCAUUUCAGGUAGAGAAGCUGCGGCGGGCGCUAGGCACAGCCGCGGCCGACGGCGCCGCCUCCCCUGCCUCGCCGCCGUUCUCCGCGGCCACCGCCCAGAUGAGCAGCAACCGGAGCCCGUUUGAAGUUUACGGCGGCGGCUUGGCUGGCCGUGACAGGCAGAGCGUCCUGGGGCUGGCCGGCCGCGCGCUGGAAGAGCUGAAGACGAUGUGUUCCUCCGGUGAGCCUCUCUGGGUGCGGAGCGUCGAGACCGGCCGAGACAUUCUCAACUACGACGAGUACGUGCGCCUGUUCCGGCGCGACGACGGCCCCGGCGAUCGGCGGGCCGGCUGGUCGGUCGAGGCGUCACGUGAAACCGGGCUGGUUUACCUUGACGCGACGAAGCUUGUGUAUGCUUUCAUGGAUGUGAACCAAUGGAAAGAGCUCUUCCCUUCCAUGAUCUCGAAGGCAUCGACGUUGGACGUGAUCCGCACCCGCGACGACGACGAUGGACACGACGGCGUGGUGCAGCUGAUGUUUGCAGAGGUCCAGAUGCUGACACCAAUGAUACCCACAAGGGAGUUCUACUUCGCCCGCUACUGCAAGAAGCUGGCCGCGGAAAAAUGGGUCAUCGUCGACGUGUCCUUCGACAAGGCUGAAGCCGACGUCGGCACGUCGCCGCUGCUCACGUGCUGGAAGAAUCCCUCGGGAUGCAUCAUCGAAGAGCAGGCAAACGGCCAUUCCAGGGUGACAUGGAUGGAGCACACGAGAUGCCGCGAGUGCGCGGUCCCGUCCAUGUACAGGGCGGUGACCGCGAGCGGCCUGGCGUUCGGCGCGAGGCGCUGGGUGGCGACGCUCCAGCUCCAGUGCGAGAGGAUGGUCUUCUGGGUGGCGACCAACGUGCCGACGAGGGACAACAGCGGGGUCUCCACACUGGCAGGGAGGAGGAGCGUCCUGAAGCUGGCGCACCGAAUGACCUCGAGCCUCUGCCGCGUCAUGGGCGGGUCGCGUGGCCUGGCGUGGAGCAGGGCGCCGAGAGCCGGCGCCGGCGACGUCCGGCUGACCUCCCGGACGAACGCCGGCGACCCCGGCGAGCCGCAGGGGCUGAUCGCCUGCGCCGUGCUGUCCACGUGGCUCCCCGUCAGCCCGACGGCCCUCCUGGAUUUCCUGAGGGACGAAUCACGCCGGCCCGAGUGGGAUGUCACGCUGGCCGGACGAGCCGUGCAAUGUCGCGUGAACCUGACCAAGGGGAAGGACCGUUGCAACUGCGUCACCGCCUACGUCAGUUCCAGAGCCGACGGACAGGGCGGCGAGUGGGUCGUGCAGGACAGCUGCACCAGCCCGUGCGAGUCGAUCGUCGCGUACGCGCCGGUCGACGCCGCCGUCCUGCAGCCGGUCAUCAGCGGGCACGACUCAAGCGGCGUGGCCCUCCUGCCGUGCGGCUUCGCGGUCGUGCCGGACGGGCUGGAGGCCAGGCCCGCGGUGAUCAGGUCCAGGAGGGAAGACGGGGCGGCGGCGGGGUCGCUCGUCACCGUCGCGUUCCAGGUGCUGGCCAGCUCGUCGCCGGCGGCCGCGCUCUCGCCGGAGUCGGCGGAGACCGUGACGAGCCUGGCGUCGUGCACGCUGCGUCGCGUAAAAAAAGCCUUGGGGUGCCAAGACCGCUAA